AAGAGUGAACUAGCUAACUGAAAUCAAUCUACAUAUAAAUAUUGAUUGAUAACGUAAGGGAAAAUUAUGAUAUUACCUUACUAUUAGUGUCGUCCAAAUCUGGUGCCAGAAGACUCGGUAAGGCCAGAGACGCAAACGUUAAUCGUCUUAAACAGGCGUAAAGGGUUUGUAGGCUGCUUUGAAUAUUAUCUUUUAAUUUACCUUAUGGUAAAAUAGCGCAUUAGAUAAUUAAUCAAAGCUAGAAUCAAAUAGAGGUUAUAUUAUAUAAUGCUUAAAGUAGGUCUAAUAUCCUAACAGAUUAAGUGGAAUAUUAAAAGCGAAGGCUUAUUUACCAUAAAUGAUUGACGCUGAGAAACGAAGGUGAGGAUAGGAAAUAGGAUUAGAUACCCAAAAUACCCCUCUCUGUCAACGAUGAAUGGUGGUUGCUAAUUAUAAAAUUAGUAGCUAUGUUAACACGAUAACCAUUCCGCCUUGUGAGUACGACUGCAAAGUUGAAAACAAAAAAAUUAGUCGGUUUCGGAGCAAACGAAGUG
RNAcentral lists this ribosomal RNA (533 nucleotides) under Amylostereum laevigatum. RNAcentral describes it as "SSU rRNA". It matches the Rfam family "Bacterial small subunit ribosomal RNA", at positions 379 to 936 of the family's 1533-position model. The record is from RNAcentral. Lineage: Eukaryota; Fungi; Basidiomycota; Agaricomycetes; Russulales; Stereaceae.